Molecule: long non-coding RNA, 449 nt
Organism: Bactrocera dorsalis (oriental fruit fly)
Lineage: Eukaryota; Metazoa; Arthropoda; Insecta; Diptera; Tephritidae
Exons: 2
Source: RefSeq, a predicted model, not a curated record
ACUAUUGCUUUCUCAUUAGACUUCGUUCGUCAAUCGUAGUUGAGUGCUCCUCAUCACAAAGUCACUCUUGAGUUUUGCUUUUUGUAACUUUUUUGGUUUUGCUGGAAUAGCACAGCAAUGAAAUCAAUGUUCUUCACGGUAGCGAAAAACAGAGACUUAUUCCUGCUCACUUGCCAGGAUACGGGGGAUAUUUGCUGCUGUGUUUGUAUGUAUGAGCCUGUAUACCAAUUGGAAAACAACAAAUCAGGGAGGGUUUUCCCUAUGUAGAGAUUUUCAGUUGGGAAAACAUAUGUAGAAAAGAGAAUCAUGCAAAUAAAAUAAUUGCCAGAUGUGUAAACCCUUCGUUUUUGGAGAGAUCAGAAAUUUUUACUCAAUAUAUUAAUUACAUAUGUAUUUAUAUAAAAAAAAAUGAAUACCUAAUUUUAAACAUAAUAUAAAUAUAUAAUGUA